GGAGCAAUACCCAAGUGGUUGUAAGGGGGCUCAUUGCUAACGAGUUAGGUUGGGAUUAUUCCUGGCGCAUGGGUUCGAAUCCCGUUUGCUCCGCCA
Molecule: transfer RNA, 96 nt
Filed under: Mollicutes bacterium
Lineage: Bacteria; Bacillati; Mycoplasmatota; Mollicutes
Description: tRNA-Ser
Rfam family: tRNA
About the family: Transfer RNA (tRNA) molecules are approximately 80 nucleotides in length. Their secondary structure includes four short double-helical elements and three loops (D, anti-codon, and T loops).
Source: RNAcentral